GACGAACGCUGGCGGCGUGCUUAACACAUGCAAGUCGAACGGAAAGGCCCUGCUUUUGUGGGUUGCUCGAUUGGCGAACGGGUGAGUAACACGUGAGUAACCUGCCCUUGACUUUGGGAUAUCUUCAGGAAACUGGGGCUAAUACCGGAUAGGAGCUCCUGCUGCAUGGUGGGGGUUGGAAAGUUUCGGCGGUUGGGGAUGGACUCGCGGCUUAUCAGCUUGUUGGUGGGGUAGUGGCUUACCAAGGCUUUGACGGGUAGCCGGCCUGAGAGGGUGACCGGGCACAUUGGGACUGAGAUACGGCACAGACUGCUACGGGAGGCAGCAGUGGGGAAUAUUGCACAAUGGGGGGAAGCCUGAUGAAGCAACGCCGCGUGCGGGAUGACGGCCUUCGGGUUGUAAACCGCUUUCGCCUGUGACGAAGCGUGAGUGACGGUAAUGGGUAAAGAAGCACCGGCUAACUACGUG
Molecule: ribosomal RNA, 468 nt
Filed under: uncultured bacterium
Lineage: Bacteria
Description: partial 16S ribosomal RNA
Rfam family: Bacterial small subunit ribosomal RNA
Source: RNAcentral